This 274-nucleotide ribosomal RNA is filed under the name uncultured bacterium. RNAcentral's name for it is "partial 16S ribosomal RNA". It matches the Rfam family "Archaeal small subunit ribosomal RNA", at positions 473 to 747 of the family's 1478-position model. The record is from RNAcentral.
AAACCAGCACCUCAAGUGGUCAGGAUGAUUAUUGGGCCUAAAGCAUCCGUAGCCGGCUCUGUAAGUUUUCGGUUAAAUCUGUACGCUCAACGUACAGGCUGCUGGAAAUACUGCAGAGCUAGGGAGUGGGAGAGGUAGACGGUACUCGGGAGGAAGUGGUAAAAUGCUUUGAUCUCUCGAUGACCACCUGUGGCGAAGGCGGUCUACCAGAACACGUCCGACGGUGAGGGAUGAAAGCUGGGGGAGCAAACCGGAUUAGAAACCCGAGUAGUCC